GAUGAACGCUGGCGGCGUGCCUAAUACAUGCAAGUCGAGCGAACGGACGAGAAGCUUGCUUCUCUGAUGUUAGCGGCGGACGGGUGAGUAACACGUGGAUAACCUACCUAUAAGACUGGGAUAACUUCGGGAAACCGGAGCUAAUACCGGAUAAUAUUUUGAACCGCAUGGUUCAAAAGUGAAAGACGGUCUUGCUGUCACUUAUAGAUGGAUCCGCGCUGCAUUAGCUAGUUGGUAAGGUAACGGCUUACCAAGGCAACGAUGCAUAGCCGACCUGAGAGGGUGAUCGGCCAAACUGGAACUGAGACACGGUCCAGACGCCUACGGGAGGAAGCAGUAGGGAAGCUUCCGCAAUGGGCGAAAGCCUGACGGAGCAACGCCGCGUGAGUGAUGAAGGUCUUCGGAUAGUAAAACUCUGUUAUUAGGGAAGAACAUAUGUGUAAGUAACUGUGCACAUCUUGACGGUACCUAAUCAGAAAGCCACGGCUAACUACGUG
This 497-nucleotide ribosomal RNA is filed under the name uncultured bacterium. RNAcentral describes it as "partial 16S ribosomal RNA". It matches the Rfam family "Bacterial small subunit ribosomal RNA", at positions 28 to 507 of the family's 1533-position model. The record is from RNAcentral.